Cebus imitator (Panamanian white-faced capuchin) is the source of this 102-nucleotide small nuclear RNA. NCBI's taxonomy places the organism in Eukaryota, Metazoa, Chordata, Mammalia, Primates, Cebidae. The record is from RefSeq and is a predicted model, not a curated record.
UUUCAGCAGCACAGAUACAAUACUAAAAUUGGGAUGAGACAGAGAUUAGCAUGUCCCCUGCAUAAGGAUGACAUGCAGAUUCAUGAAGCAUUUCAUAUUUUA